This 434-nucleotide ribosomal RNA is filed under the name uncultured Lachnospiraceae bacterium. Its description in RNAcentral is "partial 16S ribosomal RNA". It matches the Rfam family "Bacterial small subunit ribosomal RNA", at positions 341 to 792 of the family's 1533-position model. The record is from RNAcentral. Lineage: Bacteria; Bacillati; Bacillota; Clostridia; Lachnospirales; Lachnospiraceae.
ACGGAAGGCAGCAGUGGGGAAUAUUGCACAAUGGGGGAAACCCUGAUGCAGCGACGCCGCGUGAGUGAAGAAGUAUUUCGGUAUGUAAAGCUCUAUCAGCAGGAAAGAAAAUGACGGUACCUGACUAAGAAGCCCCGGCUAACUACGUGCCAGCAGCCGCGGUAAUACGUAGGGGGCAAGCGUUAUCCGGAUUUACUGGGUGUAAAGGGAGCGUAGACGGCUUUGCAAGUCUGAAGUGAAAGCCCGGGGCUCAACCCCGGAACUGCUUUGGAAACUGUAGAGCUAGAGUGCAGGAGAGGUAAGUGGAAUUCCUAGUGUAGCGGUGAAAUGCGUAGAUAUUAGGAGGAACACCAGUGACGAAGGCGGCUUACUGGACUGUAACUGACGUUGAGGCUCGAAGGCGUGGGGAGCAAACAGGAUUAGAUACCCUGGUA